AUGCCACCGGAUAGAGACAUUGAGUUCUUAGUUGAACUACUGCCAGGCACAGGGCCGAUAUCCAAGAGACCGUAUAGGAUGCCAGCCCAAGAUUUGGAGGAAAUUAAGAAGCAGAUUAAGGAGCUGUUGGACAAAGGUUUUAUUCGCCCAAGUUCUUCGCCUUGGGGAUCGCCAGUACUUCUGGUGGAGAAGAAGGAUGGAUCGUUAAGAAUGGUUGUUGAUUAUCGCGGAUUGAAUGAAGUAACAAUCAAGAACAAGUACCCACUACCAAUGAUCAAUGAUCUGUUUGAUCGGUUGCAAGGAGCUAAGGUGUUUUCCAAGAUCGAUUUGCGAUCAGGAUACCAUCAGUUGAAGAUUCGGGAGCAGGAUAUACCGAAGACGGCUUUUACCACCAGGUACGGGCUGUAUGAGUAUACCAUUAUGUCAUUUGGUCUGACUAAUGCCCCAGCCUAUUUUAUGAACAUGAUGAACAAGGUGUUUAUGGAGUUUUUGGAUAAGUUCGUCGUGGUGUUCAUUGAUGAUAUUUUGGUGUACUCGAAGAAUGAAGAGGAACAUAAGGAACACUUGCGUAUGGUACUCGAGAAGCUCAGAGAACAUCAGCUAUACGCCAAGUUCAGCAAGUGUGAGUUUUGGCUGGAGGAAGUUGGAUUUCUCGGACAUGUUAUAUCCGGAGAAGGUAUCGUAGUAGACCCCACUAAAGUUGUCACUGUAACAAAUUGGGAAGCUCCAACAAUAGUUGGAGAAAUCUGGAGUUUCCUUGGACUCGCAGGAUACUACCGGAGAUUCAUUGAAAAUUUCUCGAAUAUUGUGAAGCCUAUGAUAGAGUUGUUGAAGAAGGAUACUAAGUUCAUUUGGACUGAGGAGUGUGAGGCUAGUUUCCAGGAAUUGAAGAAACGUUUGGUUACCUCACCAGUAUUAAUUGUGCCAGAUCAGACUAAGGAUUAUGAAGUGUAUUGCAACGCUUCACGUCGAGGACUUGGAGCAGUGCUUAUGCAGGAGGGAAGAGUUGUUUCGUAUGCUUCACAAUAG
This 1029-nucleotide ribosomal RNA is filed under the name Triticum aestivum (bread wheat). RNAcentral's name for it is "partial small subunit ribosomal RNA". Lineage: Eukaryota; Viridiplantae; Streptophyta; Magnoliopsida; Poales; Poaceae. The record is from RNAcentral.